AGAGUUUGAUCCUGGCUCAGGAUGAACGCUAGCGGCAGGCCUGACACAUGCAAGUCGAGGGCAGCGCGCGUAGCAAUACCUGGCGGCGACCGGCGCACGGGUGAGUAAUGCGUAUGCAACCUGCCCCCGUCUGGGGAAUAGCCCGUCGAAAGGCGGAUUAAAGCCCCAUGGUUCCCUUUUUCGGCAUCGGAGAGGGGAUAAAGGUUACGAACGGGGAUGGGCAUGCGUGCCAUUAGCUAGUUGGAGGGGUAACGGCCCACCAAGGCUACGAUGGCUAGGGGAGCUGAGAGGCUGAACCCCCACACUGGUACUGAGACACGGACCAGACUCCUACGGGAGGCAGCAGUGAGGAAUAUUGGUCAAUGGGCGCAAGCCUGAACCAGCCAUGCCGCGUGCAGGAAGACGGCCCUACGGGUUGUAAACUGCUUUUCUGCGGGAAGAACGGCCUUUACGUGUAGGGGUUGACGGUACCGCAGGAAUAAGGAUCGGCUAACUCCGUGCCAGCAGCCGCGGUAAUACGGAGGAUCCGAGCGUUAUCCGGAUUUACCUGGGUUUAAAGGGUGCGUAGGCGGCUCCCUCAGUCAGCGGUGAAAUGUGCGGCUCAACCGAUAACCUGCCGUUGAUACUGGGGGGCUAGAGUUGAGUUGAGGCAGGCGGAAUGUGCGGUGUAGCGGUGAAAUGCUUAGAUAUCGCACAGAACGCCGAUUGCGUAGGCAGCUUCCAAGCCCACACUGACGCUGAGGCACGAAAGCGUGGGGAUCAAACAGGAUUAGAUACCCUGGUAGUCCACGCCGUAAACGAUGAUAGCUCGCUGUUGGCAAUACACCUGCCAGCGGCCAAGCGAAAGCGAUAAGCUGAUCCACCUGGGGAGUACGGCCACAAGGCUGAAACUCAAAGGAAUUGACGGGGGCCCGCACAAGCGGAGGAACAUGUGGUUUAAUUCGAUGAUACGCGAGGAACCUUACCCGGGCUAGAACGCCGAGCGAAUGUGGGGGAAACUCCAUAGCCAGCAAUGGCGGUCGGCGAGGUGCUGCAUGGUUGUCGUAGCUCGUGCCGUGAGGUGUUGGGUUAAGUCCCGCAACGAGCGCAACCCCUAUCUUUAGUUGCCAGCGAGUAAUGUCGGGGACUCUAAAGAGACUGCCUGCGUAAGCAGAGAGGAAGGAGGGGAUGACGUCAAAUCAUCAUGGCCUUUAUGCCCAGGGCUACACACGUGCUACAAUGGUGGAUACAAAGAGCAGCCAACUGGCGACAGUGAGCAAAUCUCAAAAAAACCAUCUUAGUUCGGAUUGAAGUCUGCAACUCGACUUCAUGAAGCUGGAAUCGCUAGUAAUCGCAAAUCAGCAAUGUUGCGGUGAAUACGUUCCCGGACCUUGCACACACCGCCCGUCAAGCCAUGGAAGUUGGGUGUACCUUAAGACGAUAAACCGCAAGGAGUUGUCCAAGGUAAAACCAGUAACUGGGGCUAAGUCGUAACAAGGUA
Molecule: ribosomal RNA, 1480 nt
Filed under: uncultured bacterium
Lineage: Bacteria
Description: bacterial SSU rRNA
Rfam family: Bacterial small subunit ribosomal RNA
Source: RNAcentral